GUCUAGCCCAGAUUGAAGCGGCAUCCUUUUUGCUUUUUUAGCAAAAAGAUAUAGCAGAAAGCUGGAAAUAGC
This 72-nucleotide small RNA is filed under the name Polaribacter atrinae. RNAcentral describes it as "Flavo-1 RNA". It matches the Rfam family "Flavo-1 RNA". The record is from Rfam by way of RNAcentral. Lineage: Bacteria; Pseudomonadati; Bacteroidota; Flavobacteriia; Flavobacteriales; Flavobacteriaceae.